Cryptotermes secundus is the source of this 358-nucleotide long non-coding RNA. RefSeq lists it as uncharacterized. The record is from RefSeq and is a predicted model, not a curated record. The transcript has 3 exons. NCBI's taxonomy places the organism in Eukaryota, Metazoa, Arthropoda, Insecta, Blattodea, Kalotermitidae.
UAUUACAUCUCUUAGCGCGGAAUAUUUCGUGUUACUGUUUCAUGGGUAUUAAUGAUGGUUAAUCAACUUCAAGCAUUCUGUCCGACACUGCGACCCAUGAGAGAAGUGUAGAUACUUACGGACGGCAAGCCGGGAGACGGGGAAUGACGUGGCCACACUAUUCUGAGGUGACCUCAAUGUGUGGUGAAUAAGGAUGGGAAGAAGAGACACACAGCUAUAGAAGGAAUGGAGCUUCUUUCACACACGUACAGAUAGCGCACAUGUAGCAGACCACUGCGCCUGCGGUAGGAAGAAGGCUCCAGUUGUGGAUGUACCUAUCUACAGUUUCAAGCGACAUCAAUAUCAACCGCGUUUCAGC